CUCAUUUCGAGGUUGUGAGCAAGAGACCCAGUUUGGUUUAGUGUUUAGCAAAUUAUCUUCACCCUUUUGCCACUAAAUCACUGUACAAGCACAAGCAAACCACUCAGCUCUUCCUCUCCUUCCCCUUAUUCAAAUGUACCCAGACCAUGACUUGUGAGAUGACUGUGAGGAGUGAAGAUCAGCCCAUGAACAUGGACAGAAAAUUCUCCAACCAAGGUCACAGCAUGAAUUGACCUGGGCUGCCUUUCAGCAUGCUUGAGACCGGGGAGUGUGACAACCCAGUCUGCCCAGUGAUGGAAAGUUAGAAACUGGAAAUGUACCUGGAUGCCACCCUGAGUCAGCCCAAACCGAAGCAUCUCUACAAAACACCUAGAUGUGAACAAACUGCCGUCCUCUGACAAAAAUAUUCCGUCUGAGAAUUUCUGACCAGCUGCGGCGGUAAACACCUCCAGGGUGUCCUUUUUGUCUGAUACAGGGCAAAAAUUAUUCGGGUGC
RNAcentral lists this long non-coding RNA (495 nucleotides) under Zonotrichia albicollis (white-throated sparrow). RNAcentral describes it as "lncRNA (ENSZALG00000006068.1)". The record is from RNAcentral. Lineage: Eukaryota; Metazoa; Chordata; Aves; Passeriformes; Passerellidae.